RNAcentral lists this transfer RNA (76 nucleotides) under Ferrimicrobium acidiphilum. RNAcentral's name for it is "tRNA-Ala". It matches the Rfam family "tRNA". Rfam says of the family: Transfer RNA (tRNA) molecules are approximately 80 nucleotides in length. Their secondary structure includes four short double-helical elements and three loops (D, anti-codon, and T loops). The record is from RNAcentral. RNAcentral also lists the same sequence under 4 other names. Lineage: Bacteria; Bacillati; Actinomycetota; Acidimicrobiia; Acidimicrobiales; Acidimicrobiaceae.
GGGGGCGUAGCUCAGCUGGAAGAGCGCCUGCUUUGCACGCAGGAGGUCAGGGGUUCGAGUCCCCUCGUCUCCACCA